RNAcentral lists this ribosomal RNA (208 nucleotides) under uncultured bacterium. RNAcentral's name for it is "partial 16S ribosomal RNA". It matches the Rfam family "Bacterial small subunit ribosomal RNA", at positions 28 to 223 of the family's 1533-position model. The record is from RNAcentral.
GAUGAACGCUGGCGGCGUGCCUAAUACAUGCAAAGUCGAGCGAACAGAUAAGGAGCUUGCUCCUUUGACGUUAGCGGCGGACGGGUGAGUAACACGUGGGUAACCUACCUAUAAGACUGGGGAUAACUUCGGGAAACCGAGCUAAUACCGGAUAACAUUUGGAACCGCAUGGGUCUAAAAGUGAAAGAUGGUUUUGCUAUCACUUAUA